GAUGAAGAACGCAGCGAAAUGCGAUACGUAAUGUGAAUUGCAGAAUUCAGUGAAUCAUCGAAUCUUUGAACGCAUAUUGCGCUCUCUGGUAUUCCGGAGAGCAUGCUUGUUUGAGUAUCAGUAAACACCUCAACUUCCAUAUCUUUUUUGAAAUGGGAGUUGGACUUGAGUGAUCCCAACGCUUUUCCUCACCGAAAAGUGGCGGGUUACUUGAAAUGCAGGUGCAGCUGGACUUUUCUCUGAGCUAUAAGCAUAUCUAUUUAGUCUGCCUAAAAAACAGAUUAUUACCUUUGCUGCAGCUAACAUAAAGGAGAUUAGUUCUUGUGCUGACUGAUGCAGGAUUCACAAAGACAGGCUUCGGCCGACUUUGUAAACUCGAUCUCAAAUCAAGUAAGACUACCCGCUGAACUUAAGCAUAUCAAUAAGCGGAUGA
This 433-nucleotide unclassified non-coding RNA is filed under the name soil metagenome. RNAcentral describes it as "partial contains 5.8S ribosomal RNA, internal transcribed spacer 2, and large subunit ribosomal RNA". The stretch from base 1 to 120 matches the Rfam family "5.8S ribosomal RNA", at positions 35 to 154 of the family's 154-position model. The record is from RNAcentral.